Molecule: non-coding RNA, 851 nt
Organism: Pogona vitticeps (central bearded dragon)
Lineage: Eukaryota; Metazoa; Chordata; Lepidosauria; Squamata; Agamidae
Source: RefSeq, a predicted model, not a curated record
UCCAUGGAUUCCCUCUGCCGAGGAGGGGGGAGUCGCCCGAGAGGAAGAGGAGGAGAGGCUCCCGAUCCUUUUGCGUAGCUCAUCGCCUGUGGCUCUGGCUUGUGAAAGAAGGAAAAAGUGGCUUCUUUGCCUGAAGGAAGGGAACUGGCCCGUUUCCUAGUUUGUGCAAAGACAGCCUUUCCCAUAUGAGUGCCUUCCAGAUAAUGAAUGGACUUCAGCUCUCAGCAUUCCUGUGAACCCUGCUGGCUGGAGCCAAAACAAAACAUCCAGAUGACACCAGGGUGAGCUACUCAGUUCAACAAAAAGUCAUUUCCCUUUUUGUUUGGGGGAAAGGGCUACAAGACUUCCAGGUGGAAUAAAGAUGUGGAGAGCAGACCUUACAUGUAUAUCCCUAUCUCAGUGACCCUUUGAACCCUACACGUUUUUGGGAUGAACCCAAGAGCCAACAAUCCUGUGUGGUAGAGGUCCCACCUACACCCAAUAACUGCAUAAUAAAGUUAAUAUGGACUUUUGGAGACUACCAUAGAUGAUCCGCUUUGUUAUUCUGUUAAGUGAGUAAUGUGGAUAUGGAUAAAUACAGCACACUUUUUAAAGGGAUGUUUAGUCUACAUUUUGUGGGUGGAAAUUAAAUCCCUUCCAGUGAAAGAACUUGGUUUUUAUUGUGGUUUGUCGUGCUAGUUGUCAUUGCGUUACAGGUUGACAUAAAGUUACAUCACCAGUGACAUAAAUUUCCUGCUCUCUCUCCUAAUUUUACUGUUUUCUUUCAUCUUCAUGUUUGUGUUAAAAUUACCCUGGUAUGAGUAAGCACCAGCCUAUGACUCUUUCCAGAGGUUAAUAUGAGCAAUCUACAA